UCUUGCUUGAUACUCAUCACUGUUUUUUAAAAAUACUUCAUGGCUUGUGAGUCAUGAAACUUAACGCUAUAGUAAGAGUAAGCCAACAUAUAAAGUCAUCUUCGGAGGUCAAUAUACUGUAUGCAUUCUAUGUAAAAGAGUGUAUGGCUUUGAUUACCUUUACCACUGGUUGUUACCCUAUAGCUCCAGAUUCCCCCGCGACCCUGAAGAAGGAGUAAACGGUAGAAGAUGGAUGUAUGGAUGUAUGGAUGUUACCCUAUAACUAUAGAUCUGUAGACACAGUGCUAAUCUUUAUAAAUCACUCUUCCAGCUCGGCACACCUACAUUCCCGUGUGUGUAUCUGGCUUGCUGAUUAUUCUGGUUCUGUCUUUGGCACUUCACUACAAUCAAGUAAAAACUUGCCAUGUGUUGACAGAUUGUCUCUCAGCGUCUUCUUCGAAAGCAUCACCCAGAGGCACAGGACAUAACAGGGUCAGUGAGAGCUCAUCAGGAGACCAAAACCCAAACACUAUAAAUCUAGUCUAUGUAAAUCACGAGUCCAACCUCAACCAAUCAAAUCAAGUCUACGAGACACUACACAUUAAAGCCAUCCAGAUAGGUUCUAUAUAUGAGACUAUGUUCUCCAGUACUGACCAAUCAGAUGAACGAGGGGGGAUGAACGAGCCAGACAGAUUCAAGUAAAAGAGCUUUAUGUGCAUAACAAAAAUAAGCCUGUGGAGUGAUUAAACUUAGAAUAUUGCACUGUACAUGCACUGGAUGUAUUACAAAA
Molecule: RNA transcript, 769 nt
Organism: Ictalurus punctatus (channel catfish)
Lineage: Eukaryota; Metazoa; Chordata; Actinopteri; Siluriformes; Ictaluridae
Exons: 3
Source: RefSeq, a predicted model, not a curated record